CUUAUUGGUUGAUAGCGCUAGGUGGCGUCCUAUAAGAGUGCCUGCUGCUUUGUCUUUUGGCCUUUGACCUCUCGCUGGGUGCCCUUCGGCGUUCACUUCCGCGUCCGCUUCGUGCCUCUCGGCAGCACAGACAGCUGCUGCGCAAACGGGGUUAAUGCCGCUCGCGGACCCAUGCCGCAUGCAACUGAACUUAAGGUAGGAUUCCCCCUGGUUACGGUGUAGCGUAUAGCUUAGUUUAGCUUAUAGCCUCUAUGCUAUGUUUGUAGGCUCCCGUGUCUGCGCCUCUCGCCUCUCAAUGAGCGACAAGCUUGAUGUCUGGUGGUAAGUGUGUCCGUCUUCCUGGUGCAUGAGCUGUCCUAUUCCAAUGUGAUUUAUUCCUCCUUUUUUUCUGUUUUUGGUAGACGCUGCCGUCUUGCCCGUGUGCAAAGUUUCGAGCUGACACAUAUUGCAUGUUUGUUGUGCCGGUUCUGCAUGUCCGCCGGUCCCAUCUGCUUGCUGUAAAUGACACUUUUCUACCGCGGCUACGGCACGCUUGGUAGAUGCGAGCGACCCUCCAGUGUCGACAACUAGCUGGGGGCUACGUUUGGGGCUUUCUGCGGGAGCUACCCCACUCCCCUCUACGGAACGCUUUUCCCCUCACCAAACCACGAACUGUGCCGCUCGCGUUGACUUGAGUGAAGUCAGAACUGACUGAACUGUUGCUCUACGUUGCAUCAAAAUGUUUAUGUUGUAAAAAUUGUGUUUUAUUUCCCAGGAGCUGCGGGUCAAAUGGUGGUGGUGGUGGUGGUCGUUCGGUGGUGGUAACUUUGUUUGUAUAUAUUUGCAAAGCACUUUCAGUUGAUUUUGGUUUUGUAGUGGUUUUGUUGUGUUUUGUUGCUUUAUUUAGGUUGCCCCAUUUUAGUUCGCUCCAUCCGUCCAGCCUAACACCAGCUCCCUGGCUCUUUGAGGGUGAGUGUAUGUGGGUGUGUGCGUGUGAGUUUAUUGGCGCCAAAUGUUUUAGAAGACAAGAGCCACUAUUUUAAUCAAGUUGAAAUAAACGUCUGUUUUAAGGAUUUAUAAUAAGCAUAAUAAAUAUUGUAAAUGGAGCCAGUGUCUCUGUCGCCUCAUUCAAGGUAAGCUUACCUGGGUGCCUUAGCUUCAUUAUUCCCUCACCCUCCCCGCCACACUUGGUUGUUUGUAAUGCAAUCUCUUGGAGCAAUGUCCGCAAUGCACACCAAGCCUUUCCAUCCAUGGUGGGAUCAGUGCAACAUUUGCAACACAUUGAUGCAAAGGAGGGUGCCCCACCAACAUGAUUCAUGUUCACACAUUCACGGUGUAGUAAUAACACUGUACCUCUUCUUUGAUGCGCGACGCCAGACUUCCUCCAAGCAGUCAGAAUCAAGGAAGUCAAACAAUUAAUGGCGUCUGUCUCAUGCUGAUGUACGCAAGGGUUGGAGGAUCAGAAGACGCAAUGAAGAAAAACAAGAGGACGGACUGCACCUUUCCCGGAUGUGGGAUACUCGGGCCUCACCCUGUGGCCAGGCCCGGGGGAGGGGCUCGCAGGUGAGCGCCUGGUGGUCAGAUUUUCACCAGCCCGAAGCCACACAGGAUUUCCAGCCCCCAUAGACCCACCGACUGCGGAGGAUGGCAUCAGGGUCCGGUGCAAUGUGGUUUGGUGAGGGGCCCUCCGAGCGGCAGCUGUCCCCCGAUUUUAAUUGUAUCAUUAGCUAUCAUCCACAUACACCCCUAUCAUAUACAUGCACCCUAUCAUAUACAUGUCCUUUGUCCUUAUGUCCUUGUUCGUCUUUAUAGUUGUCACAGACAUUUAUUUGCUGAUAUCGUUCUGUAUGUUUCUGUUGUUCUGUUCUUGUUGUCACAAUUGUUGUUGGUGCUGCUGUUGUCUCGUCUCUCUUUUUUUUUUUUUGUCCCUCUCUCAUCCCCGCACCCCCACCCCCUGUUUCCUUUUCUCUUCUUCUCUGUCAAAAAAGAAAAAAAGAAGAAAAAAACGCUCUAUUUGUUCCAAGGCUGUGUGGUUCAUUCUCUGCAUCUUGGGAUCCAAACUCCGGCCCAGGCUGAUCGUGACAGAAAUGGCCAUAUUAAAAAGAUGAUUUGAUAAAAAUAGAGUAUCCUUCCAUUAGCACCUCCGAUCAAAGGGAAGUGUAGCUCUCUGUACAUCCGAAAAACUCCAGAGGAUCUUAUGGCAACAAAAAAAUUCCUACCUAUUUCAAACUAGUAAAUACCCUGAGACAAAAAUUAGUGCAUCCUAAAGACAAGGCUCCAAAUCAAAAACAGAGCAAUGUGGUCUAUUCUAUCCACUAUAAAGAUGAGGAAUGCAGAUAAAUGUUGUGAUUGGCUCAAAACUCAAGACAAGUCUGUUGCGCCAUUUUCACAGAGCAAUUUAAGGUCAUUGCACUUUGCAUGUUCCUAGGACAAUACAUUUCUGCCUGCAUUCUUCUGUUUUUAGCAAGUUUGGACGCUUAUAAAGGACAUUUGCCUGCUACAAAGAGGAUACCAUUUUCUGCCUGAAUGAGGUGAGCUGUUUUCUCUAUUCAAGUUUUAGAAACUGCUGGAACAUUUCUAGUUUGAAACAUGUACAGUACGUUUGAAUGUGUGUAAAUCUGAGGUUGACUUAGGUCAAUUUUGAGCAUUGGACAAUUGCAGCAUUGUGUUUUUAGAGUGGCCCUCUCUACUUUGCCCUCCUAUUUUUGUUUAACGCCAUGUUAAAAUGUCUUGGGAAGCAUGAGCCUGACAUCAGCCAGAUGGUCCAAAGCUGGCCAGCACUUUUCACUGAAAGCCAGGUUUGUGAAAUUGUCCUUUAAAUUUGUUUUUUUGUGUUAUUAAUGUUAUAAGUAACUCUGCCUGAAUAUCAAAAUUGAGCAUAUUUCAUAUUUUUCAGGUGUACUUGGAGUUUAACAGGGUUGCUGGUAGAAAUCUUAAAGAAGAGUUCUUUGGUGUUCUUGAUGGUUUGUGUCCAAGCGUGAUGGAAAUCUUCAAGAGGAAGACAGGUCGGAUAGGCAAGCAGUUAGCUGACCUGCUACAACAAACAACGAGCACUGAGCCAACAGCCAUUUGAUGCCUUGUCCUGAGAGGACUUCCAGUCAUUCUUGGGGAUGAUGCAUCUAUGUUCUUUAAGAGCAGUUUGAAUCUUAAUGAGGGAGCCUCCGUGGGAAUCCUCUGCUAUGAGGACACCAGCACUGCAAGCCCAGCCAGCCCAGCAUUGCCACAACUAAACCCCUCAAGAGUGGGGAUCAUCCUAGAGGGUAGCCUUGUAAUGGAAGCACCCACCAACCUACCUCAGGCCAUGUGCCUCUUGUUUGGCUUUACCUACGCACUCCACCUGCAGUACCCGAAGUGCUUAAAAAACACAUUUACAUUCAUUCAGCAGGUAAUGCUAAAUUUAGGUCGAAGUGAGCUACCUCCCAAGGUUCAAAAGCUGAAGAAUGAUCUUGCAGUGUAAGACACAUUUAUGCUCAUGGCACAAUUCUUCAGGUCCGUGUCUGGAUUGUUGCACAAAUACAUUGUACUGACUGGAGCAAAUAUUCUUGCAGUUGCUCAUUUUGUAUGUGGUUUUUCUUGUACUGGAUGUAUUGCUUGUUUUACUGAAAUUAUUUUACAGAGGACACAUUUUAGAAAGUUGCAGGGUUUUUUUUUUUUUUUUUUUACCAACUCUGGUCCUCACUGCAUAGUUGUUCUUAAUGCCCGCUUUAUUGUGUGGCAGACAAAGCAUGCAGUUUUUUCCUUUUGCACUUGCAGUACAUGCUGCUACAUGA
This is a long non-coding RNA of Dunckerocampus dactyliophorus (ringed pipefish), 3749 nucleotides long. RefSeq lists it as uncharacterized. The transcript is spliced from 3 exons. NCBI's taxonomy places the organism in Eukaryota, Metazoa, Chordata, Actinopteri, Syngnathiformes, Syngnathidae. The record is from RefSeq and is a predicted model, not a curated record.